RNAcentral lists this ribosomal RNA (253 nucleotides) under uncultured bacterium. RNAcentral describes it as "partial 16S ribosomal RNA". It matches the Rfam family "Bacterial small subunit ribosomal RNA", at positions 524 to 776 of the family's 1533-position model. The record is from RNAcentral.
UACGGAGGGUGCGAGCGUUAAUCGGAAUAACUGGGCGUAAAGGGCACGCAGGCGGCCUUUUAAGUGGGAUGUGAAAGCCCGGGGCUUAACCUGGGAAUAGCAUUUCAGACUGGGAGUCUAGGGUGCUUUAGGGAGGGGUGGAAUUCCACGUGUAGCGGUGAAAUGCGUAGAGAUGUGGAGGAAUACCGAAGGCGAAGGCAGCCCCUUGGGAAUGUACUGACGCUCAUGUGCGAAAGCGUGGGGAGCAAACAGG